Ostrinia nubilalis (European corn borer) is the source of this 737-nucleotide long non-coding RNA. RefSeq lists it as uncharacterized. The transcript is spliced from 3 exons. The record is from RefSeq and is a predicted model, not a curated record. NCBI's taxonomy places the organism in Eukaryota, Metazoa, Arthropoda, Insecta, Lepidoptera, Crambidae.
UCGUUAAAAUAGAUAUGUCAAAAUAUUUAUUAUUAUUUUUCGUAACUGACUUGUUUUGCUAUGCUUUUUAUUUUUUAUCAUAUAAUUUCCCCAAUAAAUAUACAAUGUCGAACUAUUUAUCAAUAACAGAUAUUUUAGUGACCAAUGAAAAAGUGCCAUGUAAAUUUUUACACGAUUUACCGAAAAUGGGAUUUCUAGAUCCUUCAGCUGCUGAAGACGAUUUAAAAGCCGGCACAAAUGUUGAAAUACCUUUGUGGCUGGCAGAAUCUCUUCAGUCUAGAAGACCUCCCUUGGUCAGUGUAGACUUACCAAAAAUUUACAAAGAUUCUUACAGAGAAAUUCUAAAUGCAGAUGCUUGUACUGUAGACAUGCAUAAAUUAAGUCAAUAUUUUUAUGAAUUGGGCUGCUACAUAGCUAAACAUGAUAUAAAAGGGGAAGUUGCAGCUACAUUAGAAAAUACGUUUAAACAACGAUUUCGAUUGCUGCUUUCGGCGAGUGUGUCUACGGAUACAUUGGGAACCAUGCAGCCUUUAUCAGCCAGUGAACGCAAGCGCGCCGCUGCGGCCGCCAGUACUGAAAACUCGCUGUCUGCGUGGCUCCAGAGAGGAGACUGCCCACUAACUACAGCCAGCAUGGUCGCUAAUCAUAGGAAAAGAAAAAGAGCACAGAUGGAAAUGUUUUAGUUAGGAAAUUAAUUAAGUUUAAGGAUAUUAUGUAAAUAAAUAUUAGUCUAAUUA